GACGAACUUUGGCGGCGUGCUUAACACAUGCAAGUCGAACGGAAAGGCCCUGCUUUUGUGGGGUGCUCGAGUGGCGAACGGGUGAGUAACACGUGAGUAACCUGCCCUUGACUUUGGGAUAACUUCAGGAAACUGGGGCUAAUACCGGAUAGGAGCUCCUGCUGCAUGGUGGGGGUUGGAAAGUUUCGGCGGUUGGGGAUGGACUCGCGGCUUAUCAGCUUGUUGGUGGGGUAGUGGCUUACCAAGGCUUUGACGGGUAGCCGGCCUGAGAGGGUGACCGGCCACAUUGGGACUGAGAUACGGCCCAGACUCCUACGGGAGGCAGCAGUGGGGAAUAUUGCACAAUGGGCGGAAGCCUGAUGCAGCAACGCCGCGUGCGGGAUGACGGCCUUCGGGUUGUAAACCGCUUUCGCCUGUGACGAAGCGUGAGUGACGGUAAUGGGUAAAGAAGCACCGGCUAACUACGUGCCAGCAGCCGCGGUGAUACGUAGGGUGCGAGCGUUGUCCGGAUUUAUUGGGCGUAAAGGGCUCGUAGGUGGUUGAUCGCGUCGGAAGUGUAAUCUUGGGGCUUAACCCUGAGCGUGCUUUCGAUACGGGUUGACUUGAGGAAGGUAGGGGAGAAUGGAAUUCCUGGUGGAGCGGUGGAAUGCGCAGAUAUCAGGAGGAACACCAGUGGCGAAGGCGGUUCUCUGGGCCUUUCCUGACGCUGAGGAGCGAAAGCGUGGGGAGCGAACAGGCUUAGAUACCCUGGUAGUCCACGCUGUAAACGGUGGGUACUAGGUGUGGGGUCCAUUCCACGGGUUCCGUGCCGUAGCUAACGCUUUAAGUACCCCGCCUGGGGAGUACGGCCGCAAGGCUAAAACUCAAAGGAAUUGACGGGGCCCCGCACAAGCGGCGGAGCAUGCGGAUUAAUUCGAUGCAACGCGUAGAACCUUACCUGGGUUUGACAUGGAUCGGGAGUGCUCAGAGAUGGGUGUGCCUCUUUUGGGGUCGGUUCACAGGUGGUGCAUGCCUGUCGUCAGCUCGUGUCGUGAGAUGUUGGGUUAAGUCCCGCAACGAGCGCAACCCUUGUUCACUGUUGCCAGCACGUUAUGGUGGGGACUCAGUGGAGACCGCCGGGGUCAACUCGGAGGAAGGUGGGGAUGACGUCAAGUCCUCAUGCCCCUUAUGUCCAGGGCUUCACGCAUGCUACAAUGGCUGGUACAGAGAGUGGCGAGCCUGUGAGGGUGAGCGAAUCUCGGAAAGCCGGUCUCAGUUCGGAUUGGGGUCUGCAACUCGACCUCAUGAAGUCGGAGUCGCUAGUAAUCGCAGAUCAGCAACGCUGCGGUGAAUACGUUCCCGGGGCC
Molecule: ribosomal RNA, 1346 nt
Filed under: uncultured bacterium
Lineage: Bacteria
Description: bacterial SSU rRNA
Rfam family: Bacterial small subunit ribosomal RNA
Source: RNAcentral